AGAGUUUGAUCCUGGCUCAGGAUGAACGCUAGCGACAGGCUUAACACAUGCAAGUCGAGGGCAGCAUAGAAGUAGCAAUACUUUGGUGGCGACCGGCGCACGGGUGAGUAACGCGUAUGCAACCUACCUAUCAGAGGGGAAUAACCCGGCGAAAGUCGGACUAAUACCGCAUAAAACAGGGGCACCGCAUGGUGAUAUUUGUUAAAGAAAUUCGCUGAUAGAUGGGCAUGCGUUCCAUUAGGUAGUUGGUGAGGUAACGGCUCACCAAGCCGACGAUGGAUAGGGGAACUGAGAGGUUGGUCCCCCACACUGGUACUGAGACACGGACCAGACUCCUACGGGAGGCAGCAGUGAGGAAUAUUGGUCAAUGGGCGGGAGCCUGAACCAGCCAAGUCGCGUGAAGGAAGAAGGAUCUAUGGUUCGUAAACUUCUUUUGCAGGGGAAUAAAGUGCAGGACGUGUCCUGUUUUGUAUGUACCCUGAGAAUAAGGAUCGGCUAACUCCGUGCCAGCAGCCGCGGUAAUACGGAGGAUCCGAGCGUUAUCCGGAUUUAUUGGGUUUAAAGGGUGCGUAGGUGGUUUGAUAAGACAGCGGUGAAAGUUUGCAGCUUAACUGUAAAAAUGCCGUUGAAACUGUCGGACUUGAGUGUAAAUGAGGUAGGCGGAAUGCGUGGUGUAGCGGUGAAAUGCAUAGAUAUCACGCAGAACUCCGAUUGCGAAGGCAGCUUACUAAGCUACAACUGACACUGAAGCACGAAAGCGUGGGGAUCAAACAGGAUUAGAUACCCUGGUAGUCG
Molecule: ribosomal RNA, 795 nt
Filed under: uncultured bacterium
Lineage: Bacteria
Description: bacterial SSU rRNA
Rfam family: Bacterial small subunit ribosomal RNA
Source: RNAcentral